GUUUAAGUUAUUAUUCCGUCCAUUAACCUUUUCAAUCAUUAAAAACUAUUGUUUUUAAAAUGUUAUUUAGGGGGUAUAUUGUUUUGUAUGAACUUUUUUUAUGUUUUUAUUUUAACUGUUUAGGAAUAGCAUCCAAUUAAUUUUGCCCAUUUCAUCAAAUAUGCCAUGUUAUAAUAUAUACCAACAUAAGACAAAAUGUCUUAACAUACCAAAGUGUGGUAAUUCAUUUUCCUUUGGAAAGCCGCUCAUUUUGCUAACAUAACAUUAAUUGUGCAGACUUACCACAUGAACAAAAAUUACCAGCAAGCAUCAUAACUUUAAUGCUUUUUUUAAAUUUAUUUAUUUGAGUACAUUCGUAUGCAGCUUCGUUUAAAUGAUCCUCUUCGUGAACCUUCAUUCCUAACUUCUGCAAUUGACCAUGUAGAUAAUAACAGCUUGUGACAUUCUUAUACAUUUGUACUUGGUUUAAACUGCAAAAUAAGCUGUCAAUUAUACAUGUUUAUUUUGUUGUAAUUGACAUUUUUGAAUUCCUGAAUGGUAAAAGAAGGCUUGCAUUUUAACAAUUUAAAUAGAUGUUGAACAAUUGUGUUCCAAGUGCAGUCUUUAAAACUAUAAGCAUGAUUAUCACACCUUGUCUGAAAUUAACCAAUACAGAUUAUUUUGUGUUAAAGCAAGCACUUUAGUACCCUUGAGUACUGUCAGAAUAAAGUUUUAUCUCUGUGUAAGGCUUGAGUACUGUCAGAAUAAAGUUUUAUCUCUGUGUAAGGCUUGAGUACUGUCAGAAUAAAGUUUUAUCUCUGUGUAAGGCAUAGACCAUUCAUCCUUUAUAGAGGUGCAGAGAGGCAUGAGUGUUCUUUUUCUGGGGAGAAACAUUUUUUGAGGACUAAGAUCAAAAAACAUUUUUCACAAUAACAUACAGGAACGAGAAAUUUCAUGUGAAACUCAAUGUUGAAUUUAUUUUAUAUUCAUUAUUUUUAAAUGUAAACAAUUUUCCCUGAAAUUAUUUUUUAUGAAUGGUAUGUCUUUGUGCUAUAGUAUGUGAUAUUAUUUCUUAUCUGUCCAAACUACUGUAAAUUGAAGAAAAAUGUGUGUAUAUUUAUUAUUGUGAUUGCUUAAUAAUCAAUGCAAAUUUGAAAAUAAUUAUUGCAAUUUUUUGAAAUACUGCAUAGAAAUAGGUGCAAAACAUAUCCUGUAGCAGUUUUGCAAUGAAUAAAAACAUUGCAACUAUUUUGGAAUUUCCAUUUUCUGUUAAUUGUUCUAUGAAAUAAACUGUUAGUUGUGUGUUUAUUCUUAUUUGUAAUCAAAUAAAGAUAUGCUAAACAAAAG
This 1326-nucleotide long non-coding RNA is filed under the name Mytilus galloprovincialis (Mediterranean mussel). The record is from RNAcentral. Lineage: Eukaryota; Metazoa; Mollusca; Bivalvia; Mytilida; Mytilidae.